CAGUAGCCGCGGUAAUACGAAGGGUGCAAGCGUUAAUCGGAAUUACUGGGCGUAAAGCGUGCGUAGGCGGUUUGUUAAGUCUGUUGUGAAAUCCCCGGGCUCAACCUGGGAAUGGCAAUGGAUACUGGCAAGCUAGAGUGUGUCAGAGGAUGGUGGAAUACCCGGUGUAGCGGUGAAAUGCGUAGAGAUCGGGAGGAACAUCAGUGGCGAAGGCGGCCAUCUGGGACAACACUGACGCUGAGGCACGAAAGCGUGGGGAGCAAACAGGAUUAGAUACCCGGGUAGUCCCUGUCUCUUAUAA
Molecule: ribosomal RNA, 301 nt
Filed under: uncultured bacterium
Lineage: Bacteria
Description: partial 16S ribosomal RNA
Rfam family: Bacterial small subunit ribosomal RNA
Source: RNAcentral